This is a long non-coding RNA of Quercus lobata, 578 nucleotides long. RefSeq lists it as uncharacterized. The record is from RefSeq and is a predicted model, not a curated record. NCBI's taxonomy places the organism in Eukaryota, Viridiplantae, Streptophyta, Magnoliopsida, Fagales, Fagaceae. The transcript has 2 exons.
GCUUGUCUAAUAGCCAUUGCAUGGCUUGGAUGUGAAAUAACAAAGUGCCCAAAUAGUAUAAGAUAGUCUGCAUGUGAGAUCUUACUAAAUGAAAUUGAGCAAUUUUUGCAUCCUAGAUCAGAGCUUGAAGGCAGGUUUCUAGCAUGUCUAUGCAUCUAUAACUAUGCUUCUGGCAAAGGUAAUGCCUUUUACAUAAACAUCUCUAUGUAAUAACCAUUUUGCAGUAUCACAAAGCACAAAAGAUUUAAGAUUCAUCUCUACCAUAUAUGCAGAUGAUCAUUGACAUGAAUGAAUACUCAAUCAGCAGUUAGGUUCAUGGGUUCAAUUUCUUUAGUUAAAGAAGUAUUAAGACGAAGGAUGUGAAACGGACAACAAUCUUGCUUCUCCAUCAAUUUGCUUCCAAGGAAGGAUGAUCAAACCAUUCUCUUCAAUUGCUAGAAAUAUUUUUCUCUCCAUCAUAGUGGAUGUUACCGUUUUAGUUGUUUAGAAUAGGCUUAAAAGAAGAUCUAUUUGUAAGACAACACAUAUUUUUAUGGAUAGCAUACUGAGUGUUAUAUACAUUUUAAAUUUGAAAUUCA